Molecule: long non-coding RNA, 2853 nt
Organism: Cyanistes caeruleus (blue tit)
Lineage: Eukaryota; Metazoa; Chordata; Aves; Passeriformes; Paridae
Source: RefSeq, a predicted model, not a curated record
AAAUGUGCAGAAAAAAGCCAAACCUAAGAUAUCUUGGUCUUAACCCUUUAUUAAGUGUUAAUGACUUCUUUUUGUUUAGACCUCACAGAGGGGGCCAGACUAACACAGGUGAGUACAUUAGAGAGAAAACACAAAGCAAUAAAGGCUCUCCUGUCAAGGCUAACAAGCAUAACAUGAAUUGAAAGUUAAAGCCAGAAAAAUUCAAAUUAGAAUUGAAUACCCAUUAGUUAACACUGAAAGAGAUUAACCACUGGAACAAGCUCUCAAUGUAAUGAAUUCUUCAUGUCUUGAUGUCUUCAGGUCAGGCAUUUCUGAAAAAUGUGCUGUGGCUAAACACAAGUUAUUAUUUAUUGAUAGUCAAAUAAUUAGCUUAAUACAUGAGCAAUUGCAUGAAAUGUAAUAACUUAUGAUACAGGAAGACAAAUUGUGCUCUGAAUGUAUGAUUUCAUAGCUUUUCCAGAAUGGGGCACAUGAGCACUUUGCCAGCUAUGAAUGUAUGGAUACUGGCACAUUGGUAAGUGAAACUUAGUAGAAUGAAUGAUGAACAGACACCCCUUUCUCCAUCAUUUUACAGACUCAAAUAUGUUGUUAUCUCCUUGCCACUUCAUGCUGAUCAGUGCUUCCUCUUUCUCACAAGCUUCCCAGCUGAAAAGGCAGCACCUGUAAGCCAACACCUGCUUGUGCUCUUCUAGUGAAAAAAAUGAUCAGGCCCAUUAUUUAGCUCAUCCUCUCCUUUUAUUUUAAACUGUAGAAGGUAUUAUAUCUUUCCCUGAUUCAGUGCUUCUCUUUGAAACAUUUAAUUUGCAAGUGGUAGAUUCAACAUUUAUCAGUUCCACUGACAAAAAGCCACUCCUUUUCAAUAGCUAUUAGAUGAAAUUCAUAAUCCUUCAAGAAUCUCAUUUAAUGUUAAAGAUCUGAAAUUAUUACAGCUAGGACACCUUGGCAAGAACGGAGAUCAGGCUUGAAGAAGCAUAAAUAGACAUUAAAUUACCCCAAAUGGAAUGUUCUAAUAUUCCAUUGAACAAUUCCCUCCUUAUCAAAAUAUUAAAUCCUGCAUGCCCUCAACUACUCUAUGUUGGCAGCAAUGUAAUAAAGAAUAACGUGGAUAAUACAGUAAAUGCGAUCAUCUCAGAGUCUGAAUUUCUCAUCCCAUGCACCAAGGAAAUAACUGUCAGUUCUGUGGCUGCAAAGGAUCAUGCAGGUAGGAAUAUAUAGUCUAAAAUAACUCAUAUGUAAUUCUGCUUUUCUUUUUUCCUAUAGUAACCUGUACAGGUCUCUGCACUGGACUCUCCCUUUUCAGAGUAGUGAAAGCAUUGAACAAUGAUUCAAAGGAAUCUACAUUGAUAGAAGCAGCUGGUGUGUCUUUUUGAAUGCUGCACAGGAAUCACAGGUACGGCUGCUGAGCUGGGGUUCAUUGAAGCACAACGAGCUCCACACUGACAUCAAACCUUGUGAAUCAACAGCACAGGAUCAAGAUGUUAUCAUCUUGGGAUACCAGAAUUCAGGGAAGUCUGGUCACUGUCUUUAAGCAGACUAGGAUGGUAAGCGAAGGGCACUUCUUACCAUUAUAGCAAUGCAAUUUGACUGCCUCGGUUACCUUUUCUGAUUUCUGUCAUGGAUUGCAGACUGUCAGUACUACAUUCCCAUUUCCCUUCCUGUCACUGAUGCAAGUUUUUGGGCCACUGCCUAGAAGAGAUCUCUAUAACAGAGGUCCCUUCUGUCUUUUUUUCCCCUGACGGAAUGAAUAUUCUCUAUUUCCAUACACAUCUGUUUUCAAAGGAGAAUGAAGAGUCCUUUCAUAACCUUGAACUGAGGCAUCUUCAUCUUGGGGAGAGAAUUUCCUCAAGCCCUCCAUUUUUGUAUUAUUUGCAGUAGGAAUUGAUGCCACACUUCUUCCUUUAGGACAGAAAGGGCAGAAGUGGGCUUCCUUCCUUAUUUAGUGCCUUCCUUAUCCUCACAGAAGGGACACAGUGCUCAGUAGUGAGGAGAAAACACUUCUGGACAUCACCUAGUCCAAAUCACCUGCUCAAGCAGGGCUGCCCACAGCAAGGAUUGUGUUCAGAUUAAUACUUUGAUGGAUGGAGACUCCCCAGCCUUCUGGGGCAACCUGUGAUAGGGCUUAGUCAUUUUAAAUAAUAAAAAUUGUUUCCUGGUGUUAAAAAAAAAACCCUGCCGUGUUUCAAUUUGUGCCAAAUCACCGCUGGUCUUGUUAUUGGGCCCCACCAAAAAGAGCCUUUCUCUACCCUCUUUGCAUCUUCCCUUCGGCUAUUUGUACAAAUCUGUGAGAUCCCAUUGAGCCUGCUCUUCUCAAAGCUGAACGGUCCCAGCUCUCUCAGCCUUUCCUCAUAGGAGAGAUGGUCCAGCACCUUAACCAUGGUCAUGACCAUUUGGUGGACUCUCUCCAGUAUGUUCAUGACUGUCUGUACUGGAGCAGCCCAGAUCUGAACCCAGCACCCCAGGUGUGCCCUCACCAGGGCUGAGCAGAGGGACAGGAUCACCUCCCUCGACUUGAUGGAAUCGCUUUGUCUCAUGCAGCUCAAGGUAUUGUUGGCCUUCUUUGCGGCAAGGGCACACUGCUGGCUUCAUGUAUGACCCGAUGCCCACCAGGACCAGUCCACCCAAUGCCAAAGUGCAUUCCAGCCGGGUAGUCCCCCACCUGUCCCGGCGCCUGAAUUGUUCCUCCCCAGUGGCCGAGUUUUGCCCUUCGCCUUGUUGAAGUUGCUCUCCCUGGGUGUCCCCGGGUGCACAGAACUCCUGUGCCCAGCUGGAGGGGCAGCGGGAGCUGUGGAGACACCCACGCACCCGGGCUAGGGAAGCAGCCUGCGGAGGACGGCGAGGAGGGCGCAGGGAGGA